Molecule: long non-coding RNA, 3489 nt
Organism: Leopardus geoffroyi (Geoffroy's cat)
Lineage: Eukaryota; Metazoa; Chordata; Mammalia; Carnivora; Felidae
Exons: 3
Source: RefSeq, a predicted model, not a curated record
ACCGUGAGAUCAUGACCUGAGCUGAAACCAAGAGUCAGAUGUUCAACUGACGGAACCAUCCAGGCGCCCAGGAGCUGUCACACUAAAAUGAAGCUAGCUUUUGAAAUGUGAUGUGAGAUAUGCAAAUGCUCCAAUGAUAAGUCUAAGAUAAUAAUUACAACCAAGAAUCAUGGAACACACAUUUACUACUUGUCAUGUUCAUUGUAAGUAAUAUUGCCAAUUCUUAUUACAAGCCAUAGGAGAGGUAACAUCCCCUUUUUAAUGACGAGAAAACUGAAGGUUGAGGUGGUGAAAUGCCUGGUUCCAAGCCAUACAGUUAACAGAUGCCUAAAUCAGAAUUUUAAUUUUCUGUGAUUUUAGCCAAAGAACUCAGUCUCUUUCUAUUAGAUCCUACUUCUUUCUGCAAAACAGCGUUUCACAAAGUACACAGUAGAUACCAUCCUUAGAGAAUUCCUGUGGCAUCCAUUUGGCUAAAGUUGCUGAGAACCCUAAUUAUUUUUUUGAAUGAUUAAAGCAUUUUACAUGUUUCGAGACAUUUUUUUAAUCAGAUUUAGUGCUCCUCGGUUGAAAAUGUGUUAUUUUCAUUAGUGCCCUGAGAUUCUUUCCGCAUCCAACUCUUUCCUGUUUGCUACUUUGGUCUCAUUUCUAUCACCUUUCAAAGAGCUGCCCGGCUGAGACUUAUUAUCAUUAUUAUUUUUUUUUAGGUUGCUUUCAUUGCUAUGAAUCAACUCCAAGGAAAGGUUAUGGAUUUUCAGAGAUGUGCAGGACGUGUGGAGAUUUAUUUGUAUGAUUCUUACUUAUUGACAGGAGAAUGUAUUCCCAGGGUUUAUCAACGUGUUCUGUUAGUUUGACAUUUAGUUGAAAGUAUUUGCUACUCUGAUUCUCGAGGAGCGCAAUCUCUUUCCUACAUUCCUCUCUCAGAUAUAACCGGAGAAGACCACCUACCUGCUACAUCUAAACGCAUUCAUCCAACUAGUUCAGCUUGGGUUUGUUUUAUUUUGUUUUUCUCCAGCGAGGAUGCAAAGCUAAACAUCUCAAACCCAUCGGUCAUGUUUGGGGAUCUUAGACAGCAAUUUUUUAAACUGAACAUAACUUUUACUCAAAGACACGACCGGAAGGACUUUGUAGUCCUUUGGAAAUGGUAAGUGUUCUUUAAGCAGUUACAUGGAGAGAGGCCACCAUUUUGCAUUGUGCAAGGUAAGUCAAUGCAGAUAUAAACCGUACAUGAUACUCGUCUUGGUACGUUCAUUCUGUUUGCUGAUCCUAGGCCUGCUCAUCCUGAGAUAUAGUCCUCUUUUCUCCCCUAUCCCCUAUGCCCCUUUGGCUAUGUGUGGCCUGUAGUAGACCCAGGCAGGACCCUGUGGGAGGUGAGGAGAGGGAAAAGCCAUGUAUUUCUCCCCCCCUUCUUCUUUGCCUCAGGCAUGUCCACGGGCAUUGGCUUGAAGCCUGUCACCAGCUCCUGCGGGAGAUAUCUGCCAUGACUCCCGCUUCUACCCAGUGGCCUGGUCCCUGGCCUCAGGGACCACCAUUUUCUCUGUCUCUCCAGCCUAUGAGUGAGAGUGGCUUCCUGCUGUUGAAAUCUCUUGGGUUACCUCACUGUCUCUUGUUUGGUUUUUCAAGCUCCUCCAUCACCUGUAUGACCAAUUCCCUGAGAGUAAAUAUUUGAACUGGUUUUGCAUUUCAGAUUAAACCCUGACCUAUCCACCUUUAUGCGUAUAACAUUCAUCAUACCAUUAAUAACAUGUUUAAGGUUCUUUUACUGCCCUGUAAUAGUGACACCCUAGAGUACUGGGAACAGUGCAACAAACCCAACUGUUGUCACAAUUCAUGAUUGAAUAUUUGCUAUUCUGUAUUUUCGAGUGAAUAGAAGGAAAUGUAUUCUGCUGAAAGGAUUUUUUAAUUGCCAUUUUAACCAGGCACUAGCCCUUUCUAUUUCUACUUAAAGGAAUUCUUUUGGAAGAAAAUAACACACCAGGUGUCUUUUAGGUUUUUUGUUUGCUUUUUGAUAGUGUUCAAAGUUACUAAAUCAUCUAGUGAAAGAAUUCUAUUCCAGGUACAUGCCAAAUAACAAUUUUCUAUGCAAAUAUCUUAAAUAUCUAAGCCAGUGCAAAUAUAAACACCCUAUCAAGUGUUCUCAUUACAUCAACUUUAUAAGAUAUGGACUAAUUUAUAAAACCGCUUCACCUACAUUCAAAAAAUUAACUAAUAGUAUAUUUUGUGUUUGUACAAAGUGCAAAAGAGGGUCAAAAUUACUUUUUCCACAUGGCAGUCUGAAUAUAGGAAAGCUAACCCAGAGACCCCCACAGGUUGGCUGAACACUACUUUAUUCAGCCAGGAGUGCUGCUGGGGGGAGAAACCAGUCCUAGCUCUGGUCCCACAGUGACACAGACGAAGCUGUUUUCCUCUAGACCCUGUUUCCUUUUAUUCCUAUUUGCACAACUAAACUAUAUUUAUAGCUUCCAUUGCAGAUCGACGAGGUCAUGUGUCUGAGUUCUGGCCAACAGAAUGUGGAAGAAAGUGGUAUCCUCCCCCUUCAGACUGGUUCUUAGAAACUUCCUGGAAUUGUCUACAUCAAAGCCAUAUGGAAAAACAGCAAACUCCAAUCAUCCCAUGAAUCUCACGCUUUACUAAAAACACAAAUCUGCACACUUGGAACAGAUUGAGACUGAAGUAAAGUAGCACCUAAUACCCCAGAAGUCCAUAAUCAGAUACUUAGGACCCCAGAGAUACGGCUCGGGCAGAAUUCCACUCAGUGACACUCCAAGAGUUAUCAUCAUGGACCGCGUUGAUUCUGAGGCACUGAGCUCACACAGCAGGGAGGCAGUUAAAGAAUAUCUCUCUGCCUUUUGGCAAAUUGUAUAAAGCGCUUUUACCAGGAGGUUUGGAGACAGCAACAGCAGCAGUGAGCAAGGCGGUUGCAUUUCUGAACGUAAUCUGAAUUAUCAUUACAGUAAAAUAAAAUUUACUAAAUGGGCAUUUAAUGGUAUUGGGGCAAGGCAAAGAAGCAGAGCUUUCAUCAGGAGAAGCUAGGACAGCUGCAGCCCCUCACAAGAAGAUCCCCUGUGAAUUGUUGGCUUUUGUAACUUGUGACCUUGUGCUAUUUAUAAAAGAGUAUUCCUCUAAGAGCCAAGAUGUAAGGCAUAAAACACCAUUGAAGUAUCAUAGACUUUGGAGAGAGUGUAAUGAACCUCUGAAAUUAGAAAAUGAUACCAAUUCUGAUGGAUGAGACGGAAGUUUUCCCAAAAAAUUAACCUCAGCCUUCCCUUCAAUGUACAUACUGGGCAUUAAUUCUGGGAAUUUAUCUUUGGAAUGCAAUUUUUUUCCUCCUCGUAUUGACUGAGUGCCAGAAGUGUCUGAGAUGGAUCAUGUUGACAUAUUCAAAGAAAAAAAUGAUAACUCCUAUAUAAUUGCACCUGCAUUUUUUCCAAAGUUGUUUUUUUUUUUUUUUAAUGUUUACUUAUUUGAGAGAGAGGCCGGAGGGGUAGAGAG